GAUCCUGGCUCAGGAUAAACGCUGGCGGCGCACAUAAGACAUGCAAGUCGAACGGACUUAACCGUUAGUUUACUAAUGGAGCGGUUAGUGGCGGACUGGUGAGUAACACGUAAGCAACCUGCCUAUCAGAGAGGAACAACAGUUAGAAAUGACUGCUAAUACCGCAUAUGCCUUAGCAACACAUGUUGCAAAAGGGAAAGGAGCAAUCCACUGAUAGAUGGGCUUGCGU
RNAcentral lists this ribosomal RNA (229 nucleotides) under uncultured bacterium. Its description in RNAcentral is "partial 16S ribosomal RNA". It matches the Rfam family "Bacterial small subunit ribosomal RNA", at positions 15 to 236 of the family's 1533-position model. The record is from RNAcentral.